GAUGAACGCUGGCGGCGUGCCUAAUACAUGCAAGUAGAACGCUGAAGGAGGAGCUUGCUCUUCUGGAUGAGUUGCGAACGGGUGAGUAACGCGUAGGUAACCUGCCUGGUAGCGGGGGAUAACUAUUGGAAACGAUAGCUAAUACCGCAUGACAACAGUUAUUGCAUGAUAACUGUUUAAAAGGGGCAACUGCUCCACUACCAGAUGGACCUGCGUUGUAUUAGCUAGUUGGUGAGGUAACGGCUCACCAAGGCGACGAUACAUAGCCGACCUGAGAGGGGGCUCGGCCACACUGGGACUGAGACACGGCCCAGACUCCUUCGGGAGGCAGCAGUAGGGAAUCUUCGGCAAUGGACGGAAGUCUGACCGAGCCACGCCGCGUGAGUGAAGAAGGUUUUCGGAUCGUAAAGCUCUGUUGUAAGGGAAGAACGAGUGUGAGAGUGGAAAGUUCACACUGUGACGGUAUCUUACCAGAAAGGGACGGCUAACUACGUG
Molecule: ribosomal RNA, 495 nt
Filed under: uncultured bacterium
Lineage: Bacteria
Description: partial 16S ribosomal RNA
Rfam family: Bacterial small subunit ribosomal RNA
Source: RNAcentral